GGUGGAAGAUGCGAAGAAACUCGCCACCGACCAGUCUUCACCGCCAUCACCGCCAUAGCUGACCGCCGAUCAAAUUCUGUUUUCUGACAUGGAUGUUCACCUAUCAGCUAUUUUCUCUAAAUCACCACCAUAAUUUCUUUUGCAGAAAUCUCCCGAUGUGUAGAACACUAGAUCCAUAAACCAACAAAAUUGAAGCGCCAGAAAAGAUGAAAAGGGAAGAGAUUAGAUCCAGUCGCAAAACACGCUCUUCUGAAUCCGUCUUCACCAGCCAUCAA
Arabidopsis thaliana (thale cress) is the source of this 275-nucleotide long non-coding RNA. RefSeq annotates it as other RNA. The record is from RefSeq. Lineage: Eukaryota; Viridiplantae; Streptophyta; Magnoliopsida; Brassicales; Brassicaceae. The transcript has a single exon.